This 221-nucleotide long non-coding RNA is filed under the name Elaeis guineensis (African oil palm). RNAcentral describes it as "long non-coding RNA (EGUI_LNC006193)". The record is from RNAcentral. Lineage: Eukaryota; Viridiplantae; Streptophyta; Magnoliopsida; Arecales; Arecaceae.
CACCAUCGUCGUGGCCCACCAAACCCUCGAUCCCCUGGUACUCCCCAGGCCGCUGAUUCUCGAAUACCCCACCUCCGAGGCCUUUCAGUCCUUCUUAUUGCUCUUUGCUUCCCGUUCGGCGAUGGUCUCCAUGCUUGUUCCGGCCCACGGGCUCCUUCGGCCGGCGCCGCUUGGGAGUCCCUCGAGUCCGUCGGUGGCUCUGUCGGCUGGAUCCUCGGCCC